Citrobacter freundii is the source of this 87-nucleotide non-coding RNA. The record is from Rfam. Lineage: Bacteria; Pseudomonadati; Pseudomonadota; Gammaproteobacteria; Enterobacterales; Enterobacteriaceae.
UUUUCACCCUGCCAUCCUGAGCAUUGAUGAAAGUCGUAAUUGAACAUAACAAAAGUCUCCCAUUCUUGGGAGACUUUUUGGGCAGUU